Molecule: ribosomal RNA, 449 nt
Filed under: uncultured bacterium
Lineage: Bacteria
Description: partial 16S ribosomal RNA
Rfam family: Bacterial small subunit ribosomal RNA
Source: RNAcentral
CCGCCAGACUCCUACGGGAGGCAGCAGUGGGGAAUAUUGCACAAUGGGCGAAAGCCUGAUGCAGCAACGCCGCGUGAAGGAAGAAGGCCUUCGGGUCGUAAACUUCUGUCCUUGGGGAAGAAGAACUGACGGUACCUGGGGAGGAAGCUCCGGCUAACUACGUGCCAGCAGCCGCGGUAAUACGUAGGGAGCAAGCGUUGUCCGGAAUUACUGGGUGUAAAGGGAGCGUAGGCGGGGAUGCAAGUUGGGUGUCAAAACUACCGGCUCAACCGAUAGUCGCACUCAAAACUGCAACUCUUGAGUGAAGUAGAGGCAGGCGGAAUUCCUAGUGUAGCGGUGAAAUGCGUAGAUAUUAGGAGGAACACCAGUGGCGAAGGCGGCCUGCUGGGCUUUUACUGACGCUGAGGCUCGAAAGUGUGGGGAGCAAACAGGAUUAGAUACCCGAGUAG